RNAcentral lists this long non-coding RNA (1285 nucleotides) under Homo sapiens (human). RNAcentral describes it as "HSALNT0355306". The record is from RNAcentral. Lineage: Eukaryota; Metazoa; Chordata; Mammalia; Primates; Hominidae.
GUUUGAAUGACACCAGCACACACCGUGGGCGCUGGAGAAGACCAGAUGAGGUGAUCCGCGGGUGUGGGCUCCUGGAGGGACCAGGCCUGCUUCCGUCCCAACACUGCUCCUGUCACAGAGAAAGGACCAGAAUAAGACUGACUCUAUCCCCUGUCCCCAUCGCUGGGCAUCUGAUCUUCUCCGCGCCCAGUCCAAGGAUCGUCUGCAUGCCUUCCCUUCUCCCUCUCCCUCUCUGAAGGGAGCGAAGCAGCUCAAAUUCGGUUACCCUAAUGGGUCCAAAUGAAAAGGCGUGUGUCACAGCUGAUGAGUCGUCUGAGAGCUUGGUCAGUGGAGGCCGCCAUCUUCCUGCCUGUGCACAGCAGCUGCACAUGUGCCCAGGUCUCCCAGGAGACCUGGGACGCUCCCCCAGCUGGGGAGAGCCCCCACCCCUGCACUACGAUGGGCCCCGGCUCCCUGCUCUGGCCCUGAACUCAUACCAGGGGAAAACCCAAAGCAGGGACACAGCUGGCUUGAGUGAUGCUGAGCACCCCGUCAUGGGAGACAUUCGAGAAGAAGCUGGAUGACUAGAGCAGAGAGGAAGGGGAGGGUGGGAGGUCGAAGGUUAGGGCUCUGCAUUCGUGUCUCAGUGCCCACCCUGAGCCAGGCUGGACACACAGCUGAGGCCUCUGAAGAGUUUGGGACCAUGAGGAGUGAGGCUUACCAGGGGCAUGUGGAGAAGGCCUACGCAGUGCCUGAGGAUGAGGCAGUGCUUCCUACAGGGGCUUGAGAAAGGGCAUGGCUGGAGCUCAGGCCUCCUGAGCCGGAGAGGGACUCGGGAUUUGCUGGGGAGCUGCAGCUCGGUCUUCCCUGAACCCCAGCCUCCUCUGGCUGCAGCAUGAAGAGGGAUUAGGGGUAGGGAUAAGAAUCAAAAGGCAGCCGGGGGGAAAUCUAAGUUUGGGGUCAGGAUGGCUUCAGAGCAGCUCUCAUCCGCCCUGUCAACUUCCCUGUGUGCGGGCUCAUUCCUGGCCACCCCCAGCCAAGCUGGCCCGCCAACCCCACAACACCCCACAGCUAUUUCUCUUUAUAGACUCCUCUUCCUCAGUCCCUGUAGAAACGAAUCUGGCAUAAAAGAAGUCUCGCCAAGGUCUCCAGCAACCUCUGUGUUGCCAAACCUACUCUAUUCUCCAGCAGCCCUGUACUGCUUUCUUCUGGUGCCUUCUGGGGGCCCCCACCCCAUCAGUCCUCCCCACGUGUCCUCCCCACCUGUCCUCUCCACCCGUCUCCCCCUCCGUCCUCCCCACCUGUC